Molecule: long non-coding RNA, 2485 nt
Filed under: Homo sapiens (human)
Lineage: Eukaryota; Metazoa; Chordata; Mammalia; Primates; Hominidae
Description: HSALNT0132934
Source: RNAcentral
GGAAGGGAAGGAAAGAAAAGGAGGAAAAAGGAGUGGGAAGGGAAGGGAAAAGGAGGGACGGGAAGGGGAAGGUGCCAGCUUGGGAUUUCGAGCCUGGGUAGUGCCUGCUAACGGGGUUGGCCGGAGCAGCAGAGCACCGGGAGGCCCAGGGAUGUGGCGAGGCAGCCGCGGUGUCAGAAAGAGGAAGGCAGGAGGCUGAGGCCGAGGGCCCUGGAAUCUCGCACAUUCCAGGGUUCAGAAAGAUCACGGUGGGGUCCACCUCUGGAGUCCACAAAAGAAAACGUACAAUGUGGCCACAGGCCUGCUUUUCCAAACUCGUCAUGGUUACCAUUUCAUGAACGGCUUCAAGUCCAGAAUGUGCAAUUCAGCAAUUUCAAAAUGCCUGUCUGCCUGCAGGAGGAGGAGAGGACCUGGGACUGGUGUUGGAUGGCACAGUGGGUAACGACCAAUGGGUAUGAGUAGAAUCCUGUUUCCUUCUGAAGCCCUUCCUAAUUGAUAUACUUAGGGCCAUCUUCCUUAACACCCCAGACCUGCUGGUUUCGGAGCCAUCGACCUCCUCAUUUCCACCGCAGAGGGCUGGAGGAGAUUCAGAAAAUCAGGGCAGGGCCCAGGAGAAGGUUCUUUCAGAGCAUGGCUUCAGCCUGGUUACUUCUGACACCAGCCAGGAGGAACAGACUUCUUCCCCAUACAGCAGGUACCACCAGAAGUACCUGAGCAAGAUCACCCUCAGCUCCUGCAGCCUCAGGGCACCGGAGUGUCCUGUCCACGGGGCAUUUGUUACGGACAAAGAUUUGUGUGGCCUUUCACUUUGCACGCUGAAGCUUAACCCUGGCUGCAACGGGACGGGGGGCCACCAAGGAAGUCAUUAAGGUUAACUAAGGUAUAGGGUGGUGCCCUGGUUGACAGGAUGGUGGCCUUAUGAGGACACUUACAAGAUGGACGCCCACUUGUCCCCCGACCCCUCUGGCACAGGAACUGAGGAAGAGUCACAAGAGGACACAGCAGAUGUUGGUCACCUGCAGGCUAGGAAGAAAGCCCUCCCCAGGAACCUGGGUCUUGGGGACUUCCAGCCUCCACUGUGGGAAAGAAAUGCGUGUUGAUCAGUCCACCCAGUCUAUGGUGUUUUGUAACGGUGGCCAGAGCAGACAAAGACAGUAUGAAAACAUAACUUCUCCCCACACGCUGAAGUUAUAACAGCAAUGCUUUCAACAAAUUGGGCAACGCUUUUGUGGUUCCCACUGGGCGAGUGUUGAAGCUUACAAAACACAAAGGCAUUUUUGAACGUCUGGUCUUUGAGGUAUAAUUUCUAUUCAGCAAAUUCACCACUUCAGGAUGGAUGGUUCUGUGAAUUCUGAUGAAUGUAAAUGGCUGUGACCAGACAUAGAACUUUGGCCGAAUGUGGUGCCUCAUGCCUGUAAUCCCAGCACUUUGGGAGGCUGAGGUGGGCGGAUCACCUGAGGUCAGGAGUUCAAGACCAGCCUGACCAACAUGGUGAAAACCCGUCUCUACUAAAAAUACAAAAAUUAGCUGGGCGGGGAGGCAUGUGCCUGUAAUCUCAGUUAUUCAAGAGGCUGAGGCUGGAGAAUUGCUUGAACCUGGGAGGUGCAGGUUGCAGUGAGCUGAGAUCACACCAUUGCUCUCCAGCCUGGACGACAAGAGUGAAACUCUGUUUCACAAAAAGAAAAGAAAAAGACAAGACAUACAACAUUUUCAUCACCCCAAAACAUUCCCCUGUGCUUCUUAGUAAUCCAUCCUCUUCCUGGAACCCCAAACCUGGGCAACAACUCAUGCGUUCUCUGUGCUUGGAGUUUUGCCUUUCCCAGAAUGCCAUGGAAUCAUACGGUGUGCAGCGGCUCGUGUCUGGCUUCUCCAGCUCGGUGCGAUGCUCCUGAGAUCCGAGUUGUUGUGCGUGUCAGUCGGCUGCUCCUCUUCGCUGCUGUGUAGCACCGCUGUUGUGUGAAUGCACCGCAGUUUGUUCAUCGCUUCCUCUGACGAUGGACAUUUAGGUUGUUACCAGUUUUUAGCAAUUAAAAAGAAAGCCACCAUAAACACUGGGUACUGGUUUUCACGUGGACGUAUGUUUCUGUGCAGUCCUGUUUUGAUUAAAAUGUGAACUCGUCUACUGCCGUGGUAGGCAAUUUUUGGAUGACUUGGGGCCUAAAUGAAGAGAAUGCAGGCGCUUGCUGUGUUCUCCCUUUCUGUAGUCUGGGACUGCCAUGGAAGUCGUGUGGUUUCUUUGGGCAGGAUGGUGGGUAAUGCGGGAAUUCUUUUAUCUAUGCCCUGUUCCAUCUCAUAUGCAUGUCCCCUCCAGUGCCCAAAAGUUUGCAAACACUUAGAGCAGCGAUCAGAUGUUUUGCUCUACUGACCCCAAAUAAAUACAUGCUGUUUGCAAAGAACAGAGGCAAGGAGGCUUUCUCUCCCAUUUCACGACCCCGCUUGGCAGAGAAAAGAAAAGCAUUAGGUUGCUGAAUUCUAAUGCUUUGCU